UACGUAGGGUGCAGGCGUUAAUCGGAAUUACUGGGCGUAAAGCGUGCGUAGGUGGUUCGUUGUGUCUGUGGUGAAAGCCCCGGGCUUAACCUGGGAAUGGCCAUGGAAACUGGCGAGCUGGAGUGUGGCAGAGGGGGGUGGAAUUCCGCGUGUAGCAGUGAAAUGCGUAGAGAUGCGGAGGAACACCGAUGGCGAAGGCAGCCCCCUGGGCUAACACUGACGCUGAGGCACGAAAGCGUGGGGAGCAAACAGG
This 253-nucleotide ribosomal RNA is filed under the name uncultured bacterium. RNAcentral's name for it is "partial 16S ribosomal RNA". It matches the Rfam family "Bacterial small subunit ribosomal RNA", at positions 524 to 776 of the family's 1533-position model. The record is from RNAcentral.